UACGUAGGGACCAAGCGUUGUUCGGAAUUACUGGGCGUAAAGGGCGCGUAGGCGGCCUGGCAAGUGGAAGGUGAAAUCCCUCGGCUUAACCGAGGAACUGCCGUCCAAACUGCUUGGCUUGAGUCCGGGAGAGGUGAGUGGAAUUCCCAGUGUAGCGGUGAAAUGCGUAGAUAUUGGGAGGAACACCAGUGGCGAAGGCGGCUCGCUGGACCGGAACUGACGCUGAUGCGCGAAAGCGUGGGGAGCAAACGGG
This 253-nucleotide ribosomal RNA is filed under the name uncultured bacterium. RNAcentral describes it as "partial 16S ribosomal RNA". It matches the Rfam family "Bacterial small subunit ribosomal RNA", at positions 524 to 776 of the family's 1533-position model. The record is from RNAcentral.